Long non-coding RNA from Impatiens glandulifera, 401 nucleotides. RefSeq lists it as uncharacterized. Lineage: Eukaryota; Viridiplantae; Streptophyta; Magnoliopsida; Ericales; Balsaminaceae. The transcript is spliced from 3 exons. The record is from RefSeq and is a predicted model, not a curated record.
CCCUUCCCUAGAAAAAUCGCACUGUCACUCGACUAGCGAAGACAAUUCUGGCUCUAUAAAAUCGUCGUCUUCUUCAUAGCGAAGAUAAUUUAUGGUUCUAGAUUUAUAGUUGAUUUUGCGAAAUCAAGAUUUGAAGAUUGAUCUGAAGAAGAACGAAGAUGACUUGGACUUCUGCUGCUCUGCAUAUUUAGAUGAAUACCAGAAGCUUGUCACUAGGAUGACGAUGCCAAAGGUCAUGAUUGAUAAUGUCGGUUGUUCAAAUGUGACUCGCGUUAUUAUUAGGCCCCAUGGUAGCAAUGUUAAGACACUGACUGACAACUUAUUCCAUGUGUAUGUCGCCUCCUAUGUUGGAGUUUGAUAUCUCAAUAAGAGGAGAGUUUCUUAAGAAAGAAAUAAAGAAG